RNAcentral lists this transfer RNA (67 nucleotides) under Ictidomys tridecemlineatus (thirteen-lined ground squirrel). Its description in RNAcentral is "Spermophilus tridecemlineatus (thirteen-lined ground squirrel) tRNA". It matches the Rfam family "tRNA". From Rfam's summary of the family: Transfer RNA (tRNA) molecules are approximately 80 nucleotides in length. Their secondary structure includes four short double-helical elements and three loops (D, anti-codon, and T loops). RNAcentral also lists the same sequence under 1 other name. Lineage: Eukaryota; Metazoa; Chordata; Mammalia; Rodentia; Sciuridae. The record is from Rfam by way of RNAcentral.
GGGGUUGUAGCUCAGUGGUAGAGCACUUGCCUUGCAUGCAUGGUCCUGGAUUCGAUCCUCAGCAUCA